This 440-nucleotide ribosomal RNA is filed under the name uncultured bacterium. RNAcentral describes it as "bacterial SSU rRNA". It matches the Rfam family "Bacterial small subunit ribosomal RNA", at positions 338 to 770 of the family's 1533-position model. The record is from RNAcentral.
CCUACGGGUGGCAGCAGUGGGGAAUAUUGGACAAUGGGCGCAAGCCUGAUCCAGCAAUACCGCGUGUGUGAAGAAGGCUCUAGGGUCGUAAAGCACUUUCAGUAGGGAGGAAAGGGUUGUAGUUAAUACCUGCAAUCUGUGACGUUACCUACAGAAGAAGCACCGGCUAACUCCGUGCCAGCAGCCGCGGUAAUACGGAGGGUGCAAGCGUUAUCCGGAAUCAUUGGGUUUAAAGGGUCCGUAGGCGGACUGAUAAGUCAGAGGUGAAAUCCCACAGCUCAACUGUGGAACUGCCUUUGAUACUGUCAGUCUUGAGUCAUUUGGAAGUAGAUAGAAUGUGUAGUGUAGCGGUGAAAUGCAUAGAUAUUACACAGAAUACCGAUUGCGAAGGCAGUCUACUACGAAUGUACUGACGCUGAUGGACGAAAGCGUGGGGAGCG